Molecule: ribosomal RNA, 645 nt
Filed under: uncultured bacterium
Lineage: Bacteria
Description: bacterial SSU rRNA
Rfam family: Bacterial small subunit ribosomal RNA
Source: RNAcentral
UCGAGGGGUAUAGUUCUUCGGGACUAGAGACCGGCGCACGGGUGCGUAACGCGUAUGCAAUCUACCUUUUACAGAGGGAUAGCCCAGAGAAAUUUGGAUUAAUACCUCAUAGUAUAUAGCCCUGGCAUCAGGAUUAUAUUAAAGUCACAACGGUAAAAGAUGAGCAUGCGUCCCAUUAGCUAGUUGGUAAGGUAACGGCUUACCAAGGCUACGAUGGGUAGGGGUCCUGAGAGGGAGAUCCCCCACACUGGUACUGAGACACGGACCAGACUCCUACGGGAGGCAGCAGUGAGGAAUAUUGGACAAUGGGCGCAAGCCUGAUCCAGCCAUGCCGCGUGCAGGAUGACGGUCCUAUGGAUUGUAAACUGCUUUUAUACGAGAAGAAACACUCCUUCGUGAAGGAGCUUGACGGUAUCGUAAGAAUAAGGAUCGGCUAACUCCGUGCCAGCAGCCGCGGUAAUACGGAGGAUCCAAGCGUUAUCCGGAAUCAUUGGGUUUAAAGGGUCCGUAGGCGGUUUAAUAAGUCAGUGGUGAAAGCCCAUCGCUCAACGGUGGAACGGCCAUUGAUACUGUUAGACUUGAAUUAUUAGGAAGUAACUAGAAUAUGUAGUGUAGCGGUGAAAUGCUUAGAGAUUACAUGGAAUA